CUUUUUUAUACAUAACUGGUUUUAUAUAUUUUUUAACAUUCUAGCAACUCUAAGAAAUCUGCCUCAAGCAUUUACUAUCAAGUUAUAUGCAAAUAUAAACAUCAUUAUCCUUCUGUUUGUAAAAAUAAUAGGAAAUAACUCAGUAGUGUGUGGCACUGAUAAAUAUAAAAAUUGUCAUAUAAAGUUUAACAUUGAUCUGAAAACAUUAAAUUGAGUUAGUCAAGUUUUGGGCACUAAAAAUUUAAAGUGAGAAAAGUAAAGGGAAAAAGUCAACAGCUGCUUGAAGAUAAAUGGAAAACAAAUGUAUUUCACAUUUUACUCUAUAUAUAUGAGAAGGAAUCCCAAGGCUCGAGGGCAAAAAGAGCUUUGGGUCUCCUGAAUUGGGCUCGUCCCCUCCUGGCUCUGAUAUGUUUAUUGGAAGAAUUGCAAGAAUAGCAGUCAUUAUUCUAGACUUCCUUUAAACAAAUUAGCGAUGCCACCCCAGUCUGGGGUAGUAAGGCACGAGCAUUAAGUGUGGUUAGAUGUUGCAAGGAUACUUAAGGAUUGAUGUAUUUGAUUUUAUUUGACUCAUAUAGUCAUACGAAUGAUUAGCAUAACCUUAUAAUGAACCCCAGUUUUUAUGUUAGAUAGAUCAAUUUUCAUAAUAGUUAUUAAGUCUUUGAAUGAAAUACAUUCAUACAUUUUAGUAAAACUACAUACAUUUUGCCAUUUUAUGUGAUUUCAAUGAAUAGAAAAUAUGACUGCAUUGAUAAAACACUGAGAAGUGCAGCCAGCACUUGUCUGUCUUUUGUCAACAUUAUUACCCUAUUUCAGACAAUGAGGGAGACACGUUGCCAGAGAUCUAGUCAUCUCAUGCACCUACUUGUGAUCUCUGCUGUUGGUUUCUCUUUUUAUUUUUUAAGUGGGAUUAAAACUUUAGCACAGCCAAAUGAACUUCUAAACAAGUUUGGCUAUGAUAUAUAUGUAUUACAAUGCUAAGAUAUUGUUAAUAUUUUCAGUUUUUGAGUGACUGAACAUUGAAAUCAGUGUCUUUUGCUUGCCAGAUUGGCACAGUCUCUCUACAGGCAUUAAUCAUUUAAAAGAAAACAUAAUGUCGUGUUGGUUUUAAAGAAACAUUCUAACCUGGUACCAAUGGCUCACACUGGUAAUCUCAGUUACUCAAGAAGCUGAGAUCUGAGGAUCAACACUUGAAGUUAGUGUAGGAAAGCCCAUAACAUUCUUUCACCCAAUAAGCACACACACACACACACACACACACACACACACACACACACGAAAAGGCAUACAUUCUGAGUCACUUAGAAACAGAAUUCCAAAGUCUCUUCCAUUUCUUCAGGCUUGACCCUUACCUUUACAGCAUGGCAUUUAUGAAAACAAAUUAAAUACCUACAUUUUUCAGAUUAGGGAUAAUACUGGGAAAUCUACACAAUGUAUUGUGAAUGGCGGGCAAUUCUUUUGAGAUUAGUUAGUGGCAAGUGGAUAUUGUAGUAGAAUUUUGAAAAUGUGCCUAAUGAAUAAAGGUUG
Perognathus longimembris pacificus (Pacific pocket mouse) is the source of this 1524-nucleotide long non-coding RNA. RefSeq lists it as uncharacterized. NCBI's taxonomy places the organism in Eukaryota, Metazoa, Chordata, Mammalia, Rodentia, Heteromyidae. The record is from RefSeq and is a predicted model, not a curated record. The transcript is spliced from 3 exons.